This is a non-coding RNA of Picea glauca (white spruce), 121 nucleotides long. Lineage: Eukaryota; Viridiplantae; Streptophyta; Pinopsida; Pinales; Pinaceae. The record is from Rfam.
ACAUGCUUACAGCAUAACAUUAAUUCACCAUAUCCCAUUAGAACUCAAGAGUUAAGCACACUCGGAAUAGAGUAGUACUGUGAUGGGUGACUUCUCGAGAAGCCUUGUUAUUUUACAUGCC